CAAGUCGAACGCGAAAGAGGGGGCAACUCCUCGAGUAGAGUGGCGAACGGGUGAGUAACGCGUGAGAAACCUGCCUUCAUCAGGGGGAUAACACUCCCAACGGGGUGCUAAUACCGCAUGUGACCACGGGAUCGCAUGGUUCCGAGGUAAAAGGUGGCCUCUAUUUAUAAGCUACCGGAUGAAGAUGGUCUCGCGUCCCAUUAGCUAGUUGGCGGGGUAACGGCCCACCAAGGCGACGAUGGGUAGCUGGUCUGAGAGGAUGGUCAGCCACACUGGGACUGAGAUACGGCCCAGACUCCUACGGGAGGCAGCAGUCGAGAGGCUUCGGCAAUGGGGGAAACCCUGACCGAGCGACGCCGCGUGGGGGAUGAAGGCCCUUGGGUUGUAAACCCCUUUUGUUCGGGAAGAAGUGCGAUCAGGUGAACAAUCUGGUCGUUUGACGGUACCGGACGAAUAAGCUCCGGCUAACUCCGUGCCAGCAGCCGCGGUGAUACGGGGGGAGCAAGCGUUGUUCGGAAUCACUGGGCGUAAAGGGCGUGUAGGCGGUCAGGUAAGUAAGACGUGAAAUGCCUCGGCUCACCCGAGGAGCGGCGUCUUAUACUGCUUGGCUUGAGUAUGGGAGAGGAUGUGGGAAUUCCUGGUGUAGCGGUGAAAUGCGUAGAUAUCAGGAGGAACACCGGUGGCGAAGGCGCACAUCUGGCCCAAUACUGACGCUGAGGCGCGAAAGCUAGGGGAGCAAACGGGAUUAGAUACCCCGGUAGUCCUAGCCGUAAACGGUGAUCACUAGGUGUUGGAGGCAUUGACCCCUCCAGUGCCGCAGCUAACGCAUUAAGUGAUCCGCCUGGGGAGUACGGCCGCAAGGUUGAACUCAAGGAAUUGACGG
RNAcentral lists this ribosomal RNA (883 nucleotides) under uncultured bacterium. RNAcentral's name for it is "bacterial SSU rRNA". It matches the Rfam family "Bacterial small subunit ribosomal RNA", at positions 58 to 916 of the family's 1533-position model. The record is from RNAcentral.